GAUGAAGAACGCAGCGAAAUGCGAUACGUAAUGUGAAUUGCAGAAUUCAGUGAAUCAUCGAAUCUUUGAACGCAUAUUGCGCUCUCUGGUAUUCCGGAGAGCAUGCUUGUUUGAGUAUCAGUAAACACCUCAACUCCCCUUUCUUUUUUUGAAAUGGGAGCUGGACUUGAGUGAUCCCAACGCUUUUCUCACCGAAAAGUGGCGGGUUACUUGAAAUGCAGGUGCAGCUGGACUUUUCUCUGAGCUAAAAGCAUAUCUAUUUAGUCUGCCUAAAAAACAGAUUAUUACCUUUGCUGCAGCUAACAUAAAGGAGAUUAGUUCUUGUGCUGACUGAUGCAGGAUUCACAGAGACAGCUUCGGCUGGCCUUUGUAAAAUCGAUCUCAAAUCAAGUAAGACUACCCGCUGAACUUAAGCAUAUCAAUAAGCGGAGGA
Molecule: unclassified non-coding RNA, 433 nt
Filed under: soil metagenome
Description: partial contains 5.8S ribosomal RNA, internal transcribed spacer 2, and large subunit ribosomal RNA
Rfam family: 5.8S ribosomal RNA (bases 1-120)
Source: RNAcentral